GGGAGCCCUUUUUAUGUGUGUAUGUGUGUUUGGUAUAAAAUAUGUUUGAAAAACAGAGUGUGGGGAUGAGAAAAUAAUUCAUUGAUUAUAUUUUUGUAUUUGACAAGACCUUCAGACUUAUGCCUACGUACCAACAUAAAAAUGAGGGAUCAAAAUCUGGUAGUUCGUGGUAUCAAUUUCAAAAUGAGUGGAUUUCUUUUAAUCAAAAUUUAAUUUAAAGAGGCACGAAGGGCCCAAAAGCUUGAAUGAUUUUG
RNAcentral lists this long non-coding RNA (254 nucleotides) under Lathyrus oleraceus (garden pea). RNAcentral's name for it is "Pisum sativum (pea) long non-coding RNA (PSAT_LNC019908)". The record is from RNAcentral. Lineage: Eukaryota; Viridiplantae; Streptophyta; Magnoliopsida; Fabales; Fabaceae.